Molecule: ribosomal RNA, 253 nt
Filed under: uncultured bacterium
Lineage: Bacteria
Description: partial 16S ribosomal RNA
Rfam family: Bacterial small subunit ribosomal RNA
Source: RNAcentral
UACGUGGGGGGCAAGCGUUGUCCGGAAUCAUUGGGCGUAAAGAGCGUGUAGGCGGCCCGAUAAGUCCGCUGUGAAAGUCCAGGGCUCAACCCUGGAAUGCCAGUGGAAACUGUCGGGCUGGAGUCCGGAAGAGGCGAGUGGAAUUCCUGGUGUAGCGGUGAAAUGCGCAGAUAUCAGGAGGAACACCAAUGGCGAAGGCAGCUCGCUGGGACGGUACUGACGCUGAGACGCGAAAGCGUGGGGAGCAAACAGG